This 223-nucleotide ribosomal RNA is filed under the name uncultured bacterium. Its description in RNAcentral is "partial 16S ribosomal RNA". It matches the Rfam family "Bacterial small subunit ribosomal RNA", at positions 111 to 334 of the family's 1533-position model. The record is from RNAcentral.
UAACGCGUGGAUAACCUGCCUCACACUGGGGGAUAACAGUUAGAAAUGACUGCUAAUACCGCAUGAGCGCACAGUACCGCAUGGUACGGUGUGAAAAGCUCCGGUGGUGUGAGAUGGAUCCGCGUCUGAUUAGCCAGUUGGCGGGGUAACGGCCCACCAAAGCGACGAUCAGUAGCCGACCUGAGAGGGUGACCGGCCACAUUGAGACUGAGACACGGCCCAA